GAAAAAUUAGUUAAUAAAUAAUAUUAAUUUGUCAAAUUAAAGUUACUAAAGUAUUUUUCC
This 60-nucleotide transfer RNA is filed under the name Metacrangonyx panousei. RNAcentral describes it as "transfer RNA Aspartic acid". The record is from RNAcentral. Lineage: Eukaryota; Metazoa; Arthropoda; Malacostraca; Amphipoda; Metacrangonyctidae.